GAACGCUGGCGGCAUGCCUUACACAUGCAAGUCGAACGGCAGCAUAGAGAGCUUGCUCUCUGAUGGCGAGUGGCGAACGGGUGAGUAAAGCAUCGGAACGUACCGUGUAGUGGGGGAUAACGUAGCGAAAGUUACGCUAAUACCGCAUACGCACUGAGGUGGAAAGCAGGGGAUCGCAAGACCUUGCGCUAUACGAGCGGCCGAUGUCAGAUUAGCUAGUUGGUAGGGUAAAGGCCUACCAAGGCGACGAUCUGUAGCGGGUCUGGAGAGGAUGAUCCGCCACACUGGGACUGAGACACGGCCCAGACUCCUACGGGAGGCAGCAGUGGGGAAUUUUGGACAAUGGGGGCAACCCUGAUCCAGCCAUGCCGCGUGAGUGAAGAAGGCCUUCGGGUUGUAAAGCUCUUUCGGCCGGGAAGAAAUCGCACAGGCUAAUACUCUGUGUGGAUGACGGUACCGGCAUAAGAAGCACCGGCUAACUACGUG
RNAcentral lists this ribosomal RNA (486 nucleotides) under uncultured bacterium. Its description in RNAcentral is "bacterial SSU rRNA". It matches the Rfam family "Bacterial small subunit ribosomal RNA", at positions 31 to 507 of the family's 1533-position model. The record is from RNAcentral.